GCCCGGGUGGCGGAACUGGUAUACGCGCAACACUUAAAAUGUUGUCCCCAAAAGGGAUGUGGGUCCGAUUCCCACCCCGGGCA
Molecule: transfer RNA, 83 nt
Filed under: bacterium
Lineage: Bacteria
Description: tRNA-Leu
Rfam family: tRNA
About the family: Transfer RNA (tRNA) molecules are approximately 80 nucleotides in length.
Source: RNAcentral